Molecule: ribosomal RNA, 344 nt
Filed under: uncultured bacterium
Lineage: Bacteria
Description: bacterial SSU rRNA
Rfam family: Bacterial small subunit ribosomal RNA
Source: RNAcentral
GCGAAAGCCUGACGCAGCAACGCCGCGUGAGUGAUGAAGGUCUUCGGAUCGUAAAGCUCUUUCGACCGGGACGAAACUGGCGAGGUGAACAGCCUCGUCCUUGACGGUACCGGGAGAAGAAGCACCGGCUAACUCUGUGCCAGCAGCCGCGGUAAUACAGAGGGUGCAAGCGUUGUUCGGAAUUAUUGGGCGUAAAGCGCGUGUAGGCGGUGGCGUAUGUCGGGUGUGAAAGCCCUCGGCUUAACCGAGGAAGUGCGCCCGAAACUACGUCGCUAGAGUGCCGGAGAGGGUGGCGGAAUUCCGGGUGUAGAGGUGAAAUUCGUAGAUAUCCGGAGGAACACCAG